CCUACGGGUGGCAGCAGUGAGGAAUAUUGGUCAAUGGGCGGGAGUCUGAACCAGCCAAGUAGCGUGAAUGAUGACUGCCCUAUGGGUUGUAAACUUCUUUUAUAUGGGAAUAAAACGUUCCACGUGUGGGAUUUUGUAUGUACCAUAUGAAUAAGGAUCGGCUAACUCCGUGCCAGCAGCCGCGGUAAUACGGAGGAUCCGAGCGUUAUCCGGAUUUAUUGGGUUUAAAGGGAGCGUAGGUGGAUUGUUAAGUCAGUUGUGAAAGUUUGCGGCUCAACCGUAAAAUUGCAGUUGAAACUGGCAGUCUUGAGUGCAGUAGAGGUGAGCGGAAUUCGUGGUGUAGCGGUGAAAUGCUUAGAUAUCACGAAGAACUCCGAUUGCGAAGGCAGUUCACUGGACUGCAACUGACACUGAGGCUCGAAAGUGUGGGUAUCAAACAGGAUUAGAUACCCCUGUAGUC
RNAcentral lists this ribosomal RNA (460 nucleotides) under uncultured bacterium. RNAcentral's name for it is "partial 16S ribosomal RNA". It matches the Rfam family "Bacterial small subunit ribosomal RNA", at positions 338 to 795 of the family's 1533-position model. The record is from RNAcentral.